UGAUAAAACAGCCUUCAGGCAGGCCCAGAUUCAGACUCCUACCACAGACGCAGGGAAAGCAGAGUAGAUUACUCAAAUCUGGGCUCACUCUCGGUUAAAUGACACCAAGGCAAUAGACACCCUAAGACCAAGCCCUUGAUGGGAUGACGUCAUCAAACUUAAGGCUCGGGGAUCUGUGUGGAAGAGGAGAUGGAAGGAUGGUAAGAGCCGGAGGUGGUGGAUGACUCCGAGGAAACAGCCUUUACCAGAUUCAACGGGGCUGAUGCAGGUCACAUGAAGAAAAGACCAGAAAUUCUUCAAGGCGGGAAAGUCAUUAACGUAACAUGGUACCCCAGCCUUUCCUUUUGCUCUUCACCACCGUGGCUGAGAGAACCUUCCAGAGAAACUGCAGGUGCUUGUGGCAAGAACACAGUAACUAGAAUUUUGUGAAUUAUCAAAGCCUGUGCACUCCCGGGUGUAGCACUGGAGUGGAGGGGAUCGUGAUGUCUGUACUUCAGCAUCGCCACUCGCCGGCUGGGCUGAUGGAGUCAAUUGUUCCAGUUUCUUUUUAAAAUAAAUAGCUCUCCCUGGCCUCC
Molecule: non-coding RNA, 575 nt
Organism: Peromyscus maniculatus bairdii (prairie deer mouse)
Lineage: Eukaryota; Metazoa; Chordata; Mammalia; Rodentia; Cricetidae
Source: RefSeq, a predicted model, not a curated record